GAUGAACGCUGGCGGCGUGCCUAAUACAUGCAAGUCGAGCGAACGGACGAGAAGCUUGCUUCUCUGAUGUUAGCGGCGGACGGGUGAGUAACACGUGGAUAACCUACCUAUAAGACUGGGAUAACUUCGGGAAACCGGAGCUAAUACCGGAUGAUAUUUUGAACCGCAUGGUUCAAAAGUGAAAGACGGUCUUGCUGUCACUUAUAGAUGGAUCCGCGCUGCAUUAGCUAGUUGGUAAGGUAACGGCUUACCAAGGCAACGAUGCAUAGCCGACCUGAGAGGGUGAUCGGCCACACUGGAACUGAGACACGGUCCAGACUCCUACGGGAGGCAGCAGUAGGGAAUCUUCCGCAAUGGGCGAAAGCCUGACGGAGCAACGCAGCGUGAGUGAUGAAGGUCUUCGGAUCGUAAAACUCUGUUAUUAGGGAAGAACAUAUGUGUAAGUAACUGUGCACAUCUUGACGGUACCUAAUCAGAAAGCCACGGCUAACUACGUG
RNAcentral lists this ribosomal RNA (497 nucleotides) under uncultured bacterium. RNAcentral's name for it is "partial 16S ribosomal RNA". It matches the Rfam family "Bacterial small subunit ribosomal RNA", at positions 28 to 507 of the family's 1533-position model. The record is from RNAcentral.